GACUUUAGGACCCUACUGAGAGGGAGUCAAGAGCUCUCCAGGGUUCUUUGAGUGGGGAGUUGUGUCAAAAACCACCAUCAGUGCGCCUGAGCUCGCCUCGCGUUGUUCUUCUGUAGUGCGGGGGGCCACUGCCACCACCGUGAGGACACGUUGGAGUCUGGGGAGGGAUUGUUACGGCUGUGGGUGCACCUUGCACGUCUUGCCGACCUAGCUUUGCACGCUGAUCUUCCCUCCGUGCCCGCUUACAUUGUUAACUGGGUUUCUGCCCUCCCUCCUCUCCUUCGUAUUUCUGUGUCUCAUUGACAACUGUUCUGUAGUCGCUUUGUUGACAGUUGCCAAACUGCUUUCCAAAAACAUUUCCACUGCAAUCCCGGGUUUCGGUGCCAGCCGCAGUGGUGUGAGUACGCUCGCUUUGUUAUAGUCUUGCCAGCACUGGGCGUCUCUGUGUAUUGUAAACACAUGCGAUCAUCACUCUUAUCUCUCCAUCCCCCCCACAAUUAAAGAUGUGCCGUGCUGUCUCUGCUCAGGUUACCUUGGCCUUGGGAUGAGUUGGCUGGAGGCUCAGGCAGCGCGAGGGAGAGGAGGAGGGCGAGGUGCUGCCCAGUGGAGUAGUGGGGAGCCAUGGCACGGCCAGGACUCGGGAGAGGAGGCCGGCAGCUCACAGCAGACCGUGGGGCUCAGCUGGCCUGCCGUGUGCUUGGGGUUUGUUUUUGAGUGUUGCGAUGAGGUCCUUACACCUUGGUCCGUGCAUUGAGAAUAAGGCAGAUGCCUUGAGCCUUACCUCCUUUUCCUCUUUGUCGCCUAGUAUGACGCCGUGCCCAUCCAGUCCAGCGUGGUGUUAUGUUCCUGCCCAUCCCCAUCAAUGGUGAGGACCCAGACUGAGUCCAGCACGCCCCCUGGCAUUCCUGGUGGCAGCAGGCAGAGCCCUGCCAUGGAUGGCACUGCAGCCGAGCCUCGGCCUGGUGCUGGCUCCCUGCAGCAUGCCCAGCCUCCGCCACAGCCUCGGAAGAAGCGGCCUGAGGACUUCAAGUUUGGGAAAAUUCUUGGGGAAGGCUCUUUUUCCACGGUUGUCCUGGCUCGAGAACUGGCAACCUCCAGAGAAUACGCGAUUAAAAUUCUGGAGAAGCGACAUAUCAUAAAAGAGAACAAGGUCCCGUAUGUAACCAGAGAGCGGGAUGUCAUGUCGCGCCUGGAUCACCCUUCUUUGUUAAGCUUUACUUCACAUUUCAGGACGACGAGAAGCUGUAUUUCGGCCUUAGUUAUGCCAAAAAUGGAGAACUACUUAAAUAUAUUCGCAAAAUCGGUUCAUUCGAUGAGACCUGUACCCGAUUUUACACGGCUGAGAUUGUGUCUGCUUUAGAGUACUUGCACGGCAAGGGCAUCAUUCACAGGGACCUUAAACCGGAAAACAUUUUGUUAAAUGAAGAUAUGCACAUCCAGAUCACAGAUUUUGGAACAGCAAAAGUCUUAUCCCCAGAGAGCAAACAAGCCAGGGCCAACUCAUUCGUGGGAACAGCGCAGUACGUUUCUCCAGAGCUGCUCACGGAGAAGUCCGCCUGUAAGAGUUCAGACCUUUGGGCUCUUGGAUGCAUAAUAUACCAGCUUGUGGCAGGACUCCCACCAUUCCGAGCUGGAAACGAGUAUCUUAUAUUUCAGAAGAUCAUUAAAUUGGAAUAUGACUUUCCAGAAAAAUUCUUCCCUAAGGCAAGAGACCUCGUGGAGAAACUUUUGGUUUUAGACGCCACAAAGCGGUUAGGCUGUGAGGAAAUGGAAGGGUACGGACCUCUUAAAGCACACCCGUUCUUCGAGUCCGUCACGUGGGAGAACCUGCACCAGCAGACGCCUCCGAAGCUCACCGCUUACCUGCCGGCCAUGUCGGAAGACGACGAGGACUGCUAUGGCAAUGUAAGCUGGCCGGGAUGGCGGGCGAGGCGGGUGGCACUGGGUCCUCCGUGCACUGGGCUUCAUGCCCGUGCGCCAGACCCACGUGUGAUUUGUAGCCGAAAGGGGAGGGUGUCUGUGCCACUGCGGCAGGCCUGCUGGUGGUUGUAGUCUUUGCUGCCGCGAGGCAGUGGCGGGUGAUGUGCUGGGUGGGUCGUUUUUUCCUCAUUUCCGUGGCCGUGGACAGGCUAGUGAGUUUCCACCCAGAGGGUGCUGCUAGAACCGGACACCGAGCACCCCCGGCACUGGCCCCGGGGUCCUACGUACAGGGCCUCCUGCCCAGGCCUGUCGCAUCUGCGCUUGGCUUGGUGCUUGUACAACUGUGCGUCCAAGAUGCUCCAGAACACUACCUGUCUUUCCACAGAAAUCCCCGAGUGUUGUGUGCUUGAACUUUUGGGACGUGGCGUUGGUGGGGACGCUGGUACCGUCUGCUUCAGUGCUGAGUAG
This 2388-nucleotide small RNA is filed under the name Pongo abelii (Sumatran orangutan). Its description in RNAcentral is "retained intron". The record is from RNAcentral. Lineage: Eukaryota; Metazoa; Chordata; Mammalia; Primates; Hominidae.